RNAcentral lists this ribosomal RNA (411 nucleotides) under Tulasnella anaticula. RNAcentral describes it as "LSU rRNA". It matches the Rfam family "Bacterial large subunit ribosomal RNA", at positions 1655 to 2071 of the family's 2925-position model. Lineage: Eukaryota; Fungi; Basidiomycota; Agaricomycetes; Cantharellales; Tulasnellaceae. The record is from RNAcentral.
CGAGAUAUAUAGAUUUAGCGCAAAGGCUACAGGCCUAAGCAAGAUAAGGUUUAAUAUUAGACCGGGCUGGAAUAUGUCCUAUAUUAUCUAAUCUAAAUCUUAAGUAUUGUUUAAGUGGUGGCACAGAAUCGGAGGCCCCGACUGUUUACUUAAAACACAGCUUUCUGCGACGAAUAAUAUCUUUGUAUAGAAAGCGAAUUUUGCCCAAUGCCAUUAAUAUAAGGUCGAUAAGCGCUUAGCGUAUUUAUUGAUUGAAGUUCUGGUCAAUGGCGGUCUUAUCUAUGAGGAUCCUAAGGUAGCAAAAUUAAUUGUCCAUUAAAUGUGGUCCUGACUGAAUAAAGUAACGAUGGUCUCGCUGUCUCUACAAGUAUCUCAGUGAAAUUGAAUUAGCCGUGCAGAUGCGNNUUNACU